Molecule: long non-coding RNA, 868 nt
Filed under: Lathyrus oleraceus (garden pea)
Lineage: Eukaryota; Viridiplantae; Streptophyta; Magnoliopsida; Fabales; Fabaceae
Description: Pisum sativum (pea) long non-coding RNA (PSAT_LNC027662)
Source: RNAcentral
UCAAAUUGAAGUUAUGAUAUGUUUCUACUUGUAUGUUUUGUUGUUAGUUAUGUUUUUGUAGUUUGAGAAUGGAUAAGGGAGAAAAGUAUAUUUUCACAUUCACUUCUCACAUGAUACAUACUCAUUAACAUGUAUUAUGGUCCAAUCUUUUAAAUUAGACUAGCAAGGAAAUCAAGACAUAAAUACAUUUAUAGUUUAUGCUUUGUAAUGUUUGAAAUAUGAGUUUACUCACAAAUCAUCAGUGCGAGAUUGUAGAUCUCUGAAAGUUAGGGUACAUACGAAUAGAAGAACCAUAAAUGGGUGUUUCAUCACUAUCCCAUCAAGAGAGACAUAGUUUGUGCUAUAGGGUGGGUCAUGAGUGAAGGCUCUAAGACAUGACGUCACCCCAAUGUAAUAGGGAAAGAGCUUCAUUGUGAGAAUAAAGAAACAGUCAUCGUCGUUGUUGCCCGUACAAAAUGAGGCGCCUUUUUUAAAGAACAAUGAAGGUUCCAAAGCGAACAAUAUCUCCUAGUCACAGUGACACAAACUUGAGGCCGACCAGAACAUUGGUGCUAGAAGGACGAACAUCAAGACCAGACGCAUUCCAAGAAGGCUUGUGAAGAGUCCCGCAUAGUUAGCUUCAACAGUUAAGAAAAACGAAACCUGAUAGUGCAAUAAGGAUAAUUCACGUACCAAGGACAAGACGAAUGUUUUGAGGCCGAUAUUAGACAUCAAUCCAACAUUACUCGAGUUAGAAAGUAACCCCCAAUCACGAUCACGGGAAAACGAUGAAGCGCACACUUAUCGUUCUUCUAGGCAUUUGUUCCCUGACCAACCUCCGCAUAUCAACAAUCUCGCGUUGAUGAGUGACGAGAUUGAAAGAUUUCCG